Long non-coding RNA from Serinus canaria (Common canary), 9397 nucleotides. RefSeq lists it as uncharacterized. The record is from RefSeq and is a predicted model, not a curated record. NCBI's taxonomy places the organism in Eukaryota, Metazoa, Chordata, Aves, Passeriformes, Fringillidae. The transcript is spliced from 8 exons.
UAUGUUGUCAACCAUCAUAUCAAUAAUUGGAUGGAAAUAGCUGUCAGUCUUCUAAAGUAGUUGGGAGUACAUUAUCAACCUGACCCUCAUUAUUACACUUGCUGUCAAGUUUUUAGUUUGCAAGAUUACACCUCGAAAAAUUAGUUAUUUGAACUGGGGAUCUGGAUUUCUCCCUUCCCAGCCACUGAUUUUCAUAAAGUCCAUGGGAACUUAAUUAUCACUGAGACGUCUCCCCCUUUCAAAUGUAGUUUAAACUACAACCAACAAGUUCAAAAGGUGUUGAAUGGAAGUGAGGAGGGACAGCCAGCCAGUCCAGUCACAUAAGCCUUGUUUCCUCGGGGAACAAGGCUAAAGAUUUUUCCUUGAUCUUGAAAUAGCUGCCCUAUGUAAACUGUUUUGAAGUAAUUUCUUCAUACAAAGUACCUUAAUUAUAUACAGCUCUUUCAAAACACAUAAAAGACCAGGUACUUGCCCUGAAGAGCUUGUAUUUUAAGUCAGAUAAAUGUAGGUGAGCCAGUAUUGCCAGUGCAAGAGGGCACAGAGACCGAGCAUCCCAAGGGACUCCCAAGUGGGACCCAGCCUGCCAGAGCACAGCACGAGAAUGCUUGACUUCAGAGCACUGCAUGGAAGUGUUUGAUUUCAGAAGGCAAGAAAUACCCUUGCUCUGCAUAUCAGGCUUCUUCAAUGUGCUUAUGCUCAAGCAUUUUUUCUCUUAAAACAUUAACUGCUUGCGAAAUACCGGAUCAAAGGCAUUGGCAACUGAAAAAAUCUAGAGGACCUGCCUAUCCAUUCCUUGGACAGUGUGGAGGAAGCCAUUUCAAGCACUCUGCAUGAACCUUGAAAGCCAUUUUCUAAUCUGAAAGCAAAAUGCUGCUGCCUUCUUAACCAAGAAAUGUAAAUUUUGUUUGUAUUUAUAUUCAUACCUGUUUAUGCUAGCAUUAAAAUAUUUCCUCUGUUUUUGGCUGGGUUUUUUUUUCUCAUUAGCUAAUGUAAGUUGCCACAGCCAAACCCCUAAUUUAACAGAGCAAUUAAACAUGUGCUUUGCUGGUCUCCAGUGAAAAGAGAGCAUAAGCUACUAUGAUCUGUUGAAUCAAAACUUCAGGAUGUGUCUUGAGGGAUCAGUUGGAUGUUAUUUUCUUAGAUGAGUUCAUCUGAGUCAGCUGAACAUAAAUGAAAACACUUCUUAGAGCACACAUUAGAGAAAAAAGCAGUAUUUUUACUAGUCAUUAGCAACUUUGUGGUAACUAAUAGAUGGUAAUAUCUAUUGUGGACAGAUCUUUAAUUUAAACAUUUAUUUUCCAGCAUAUGUUCAUCUUCAGAGGGGAAAAAAGCAACAAACCAUUUAGAGAAGAAUAAGUUUAAGCUUUAUCAUUCAUUAGAAGAUCAUAAAUGACUGGAUUUCAAGUAACAUGAAAACUUCUGAGACCCUUCUAUCUUCAACAAUUCUUUUAGUGUAGGACCCUUGGAAAUUCAUGCUGGAAAGCCAGUAAUGUGAAAUAUCUUUAAAUCACACUAUUGUAAUUCACCCAGCCAUGAGAAACAGAAAGCCUUGAAGUUCUAGCAGUCACAUGACAUCCCAAAAAGUGCUUUAGCCAAAAACAUUUAAAUAAAUAAACUAUUACUCUUCAGGCUUUAGCAUUCUGCAGAGACUGAGACUGAAAUAUAUCACAAUAACAGUGCCAGGCUUUGUGAGGCUGAAAAUUGCUCUGGAGUAUUGCUGGCUCAACGUGCUGUGAAAAUAUUAGUAGAAAAACUGGAAGGAGCAAUGUACAAAUCAAAGCUAAGAGACAGAAAAGUCUGAGAAGUACAAGACCCACUCGAGUCCUACAGAGAAGAGUUUUCAUAUUGCUCUCCUACAGGUGACACCAUCGUUUUUCUCUUCUGCAGCCCAGGCUUUCCCAGCUGGCCACACGGUGAACCUGACAAAGCUUUUCAGUUUCCCAGCUCUGCACAAGGCUCUGAACAGCAGCCAGCAACAAGCACGGGGAGCUUCUCUUUUGCUUGGCAGACACUUGGGAAAUAACCCUCACAAACUGUCUACGCAUCUCCCAUGUUUGGGAAGUGGGAGUCUUUUUCAGGUUCAAGAGUCAGAAAUUUAUCUAAUCAAAACUGUCUGACACACCAGACAAAAAAAGAUACCCUUCGUGAAUCCAGAAGAAAAACCAUCAAAACUCCCCCCAGAUAAGAGGGAGGGGAAAUAUCCAGAAUUGCCUCUGAUGAGCCUUUUAAAAUCAUAAAUUUCUCCAGAGGAAACAUAAGAAAACUAAACAGAUCUUCAUGUUCUUUUUAUCUGAACUCUGGUUGCUAAACAUUUAUGGCAUACUUUGUCAGAUUUUUCACAUACUUUGUCAGAUUUUUCAGACUUUUCAAAAGCUAAACUUUUUAAUCUCAGUUUUCCUCUGAGACAAUUAUUCUUUUUUUUAGAGAGACAAAGAGACAAAUCUCUCUUUCUUUUUUUUUUUUUUCCAGCAAAUAUGCCCUAGAAAGAAAAAUGGUAAAAGGAAAAGAACAAAAAAAGGGGGAGGAGAAUUGUGAAGACAGGAGAGGAAGAGAAGAUAAAUUUUCAUUUACAUUUCAUAAGAUAUGAUUCAGAGGAAAUUAAGAUGUCCAAUUUCCAUCAUAAAAAACAAAGUCUGUAGUAGAAAACGUUACAUUUUAUUUAAAUCUUUAGACAUUAUUUGUAACCACAACAAACUGAAAACUUAUCUGGUGAAAUGUUACCCCCCCCUGUGAUUUUGAAAAUUAUAUGAACAAUACUAGUUUGUAGGAAUGGUAGAUUUCUUUUAAAAUCUUUAAAUCUUAUUGAAACAGUAGUUUAGGCAGUUUGGUUUUUUAAGUGGGUCACGCUUUGCUUUUGCAGAUCUUGAGCCAUGGCAGGUCAAGUGCUUGUUUUAAAGAGGUAAGUGAAGAAGCAUUCCAGCUUAUUCACUCUAAUUCAGUUCUUGAGCCAAUAAAACCAGAAAGAUGAAGUUUUUCAUGACUACCCUCUUCAAACCCCUUAUUAUACUGCAGCUGGCACUACAGAGCAAUAAAUUACACACAUAUAUAUAUGCAUACACGCAUUCCUAAUUGUCACACACCUUAUUUAGCUUAAAAAGUGGCAAAAGCCUGGUCAGGAGGAAUGGACUAUUAGCAAAAGCUGUGUGUCGCAACCUCCUCAGAUCUGAGGGUGCUCAGAUGUUCUGAGAGCCACCUGGUCACGUAGCAUGGCAAAAUGGAAAGAGGGCCACACCCAAGGAGAGAGCAGAGCUAGCUGCCAAGGUCCUGAAAACCAUUCCAACACAUUGCACAAGUGUGGAAAUGGUACAAGAAAAGCACAAUGCAGGACAAGUCCUCAGCUCUCCAGACUGCAGAUCACUGCACAGCUGCCCCCAGCAUGGAAGCCAGAAACAAAUCCCUGGUGAUUCAAAGUGCAGCUUCACAGGACUGUACUCACCAAGGGAAACAGAAGGGAGGAGUAUACCCUUGGGAAGAAAGCAGUAAAGUGUCAGCUGUCAUCCUAAGGAAAAGUUACAUACUAGCAUAAGUAACACCUGUGAAAUGUUGAAAUGCUACGUAGCUGCGUGUCUGGCACGAUGAUACACAGAGGUGGGGCAGAUAAAGGAUGGUCACCGAUAAUACCAGACGGCUUGGUGCACACUCCCAUGUCACCAUUACCACAGUCAUUUUGUACUGUCAAUGCUUGAUCAUUGAUGACAGACCUCCUAAAUAAUUUGCAAUGCAUGAAGGGUUCAUUGCCUUCCCUGGGCAAUGCCACACUGAGUAUGUGGCUGUCCACAUUAUCUCACUCGUGCAAAGCGCAGACGUGUGCUGGUUUGAGAGACCUUUUAUUUUGUCCCUGCUUGGGAGACUGUAGUUUAUUCAUUAGCCCAGCCCUGAAGACCUCAGCACUAUCACAUUCCAGGACGACUUCUCACAUGACUUUAGGCCAUCAUUAUUCCUCUCUAAAUGAAACACAUUUUUAUCCACUGCUUCCACUAAAUUUGUUCACAGUAUUACAUGAAGCAUGCAAUAACUUAGAUGAAAUUCAAUUCCAAACAGAGCUGAAUAUGAAUACUAUUCAGGAUUCAGAUCCAAUGUAGAGUUGAACAUAACCCUUUUAUACUUCAUCUGCAUCAAGAUGAAUGUAUCGAAUUGCUCAGAAGAAUUGUCCAAGUGACAGCUGUCUUAAGUUGCCAGCCAAGAAUAAAUAAAAACAAAUUGUCUGAUACAAGUUCAAGUUUGAGUGUUUUUAACUGUAUAUAUAAAACCCCAACAAUCUCCUUAAUAAACUUUGUGAGUACUUGAAAGAUGUCUACCAGAAUAAGAAUCUACUGGAAUCCCCACCUUUAAAUAUAUUUUAAAGGGGUGAAGGGAGCCUUCUUGACUCAGUAUAUCCACUGCCAUCUCGAAUGCCAAAGUAUUAGAGUACAACAUAGAUUCCUCCUGCACCAAUAUUCCAGGACCUAUAUUCCGUCUAUGAAAAUGAUACAUAACUCCAUGCCAUCUUCCCUCCUGUGUUGUCCCCUUCUCUAAGGCCCAUGUUCAUUGUCAGCUGUAGUUCUGUACACCUACAAUCAACCACAGCUUAGAUGCUCUCCUAUUAAUCUCACCAAAAAGCAUCAGGAAUAUAAAAGAUGUUUUCAAGGUCUCUCUGAGACAGCCAUAAUAAUGGGACAUAACCUAACCUAGAUGUUAUUUUUAGGAAAUAAGAGAGUUGGUGUCUUAACCAUGUUGGAAACAGCAAAAUGAAAACCUUUGUAAGUUAAUACUGAAGUGAAUUUGUGGUUCAAAUGGGGAUAAGAGGAAUAAUGAGCUGGGAAUAUGGAAAAAAAGUUAACCGACAAGGAAAUUGCCAUGAUGCCAUCAGUCUAGUCAGCAGCACAGGAUUUUAUUAAGCAGAGAAGUAAUUUUGUUGAGCAAUACUCAGAGUGCUUUUGUCAUGGAUAGCUGAGAACCUUUCUUGUGCUGUAAUCAGCCAUAGAUUUCCAGACUUUUUGAAAGACAAAUGGAUGAGCAUGUCUUCAGCAGGCUAAAGCCAAAUCCCAAAAAUCAGUGGACCUGAUGCCCAAGCUUUUUAACAUCUUGACUUCUCAGAAUUUUGGUUCUCUGCCUACACAAGCAGCUCUGCUGCAGUGUUAUGAAUGCUUGCUGUGUCCUGGGAAACCUGGGCAGAAAGAUGCUUAACCAAAGAAGCUUACAAUAAGCAAAAUUAUAGAUUCCAGAAGGCCUUGAAAGGGAAAGAAAAUGGAAAUCUGUACAGAACCAGAAGCACAUCUGAAUCAACACCAGAAGUAUUUGAUGAGAAAGAAAUAAUGUUACAGAAGGAUGCCUCUCUUUUCCUAAGAAAAUGAUGUAGUGAAAAGAAGUAUUUUUGCCUUAUGAUUUGGGCAACACAACAUUUACUCAUUGAGUAAUACUAUCAAGCAAGUAAUCUUAAGCAUUUUUAAUGUCCUUCUGUUUUACUAUCACUGUGGAAGUCAAACAAAAAGAAAGAGAAACAAAGUUGCUACAUCAAGAACAGUUACUGUGAAGUACAGGAAGAGGCGAGAAGAAGAUUCGUUAAACCAUCCUGGAAGAUUGUUUAACAAGAUGAAGAAGAUGAAAAGGGAAAACCAGGGUAUACUAAGAUAGAAGUUUAUUAUAGACUAGCUUUUUGGGUGGAGAGAAGUCGUGUUUUUUGAUCACACAAGGAAAGCAUCCAAAAGGACAGAACUUGAUGGCUUUAAUUACUUCUUGAAAUUAAUUUUUUUUCUGUUGAAAAAUAAAUACAAGAAGGAGACAGUCCAACAAGUUCUUGGAAUACGCUGGGGACAGCUUUUUCUUUAGAAGGUAAAGAAAACCAUUAAGGGAGUGGCUAUUUUAGAUCUUCUGCUGACUAGUAGGGCACGAACUGGCUGAGAGUGAAAGGCAAUCCAGGUGAAAGUGAACACCAUGAUUUAAUAGUCACUACCAUAAAAAAGGAAAGAAGCAAAAUCAAAUUACUUUUUUUUUCCCCAGAAAACAAACACGAAAUUUUAUGAGCUCCAAAGACUGAUAAGCAAGAUUUUGUAGGAAGACUGUUUAAUUAACAAAAGAAUGUAGGAGAGCUUGUCUUAGUCAUUGCUGGAGUCAGUUCUUAAUUACUCAAGGUAAAGGGAAUAAUAUGAAUUAAGUAAAAACAGAGGAUAAAACAAAUUAGUCUGGGUACAUUAUUCUGCAAGACUCUACUCAGUGCAUUUACCUUUGAAAGGCUUAUGAACAGAUUUCCAUAGAAAGCACAGCAACAGAGAGCCUGAUGCAAACUGCUUAUGUUUUCUAAUCCACUGUUUUCUACCACUGUCCUACAAGAAAUGCUGAGGGAAGGCAGGGCUUCCUUAAAUCCCAAUCCCCAUAAACCAUCUGUCAUCAGCAGGUGACUGUGUUAUUACACACAUUAGGAGAUUAUCCCAAUACAAAAGAAACUGCUGAAUUCACACACACACACACACAUCCCCCAGGCAAUUUCCUUGAUUUUUAUAAUUUAUCUAACAAUCAGACUUUUGCAUUAUACAUCAAAGUAUAAAAUUAUGUGGCCUAGUCUCACUCACUUUCAGAAGCUUCAUUUAAAAGGUUUUAAAUGUUCUUAGUAAAAAUGGAUUGGUUCCAGGUUAGAGAAAUGACACCCUAACAGUUUAAUUUAGCUGUAAGUAUGAACAAAUUUUUCCAGAAGAAGAACUAAAUGCCAACUCAGAGCUUUCUAAGCAACAGCUGAAGCCUCCUAUUCCUCUUAUUUCCACUGAAAAAUAUAAAACAUCUACUUGCUUUUCUAGAAGUCCCUGGAAGAAGCUAAUAUACACGACAGCAAUAGGGUGAACAGCAAUUUUUUUGGUUGGAAAGCCAAUUUCACAGCUAGCUCUUCUACAAUGGAAUGUCAUCCCAGCACAGUAAAUGUGCCAUUUUGCUGUUUCGUGAACAACUGAGAUCUUUUUGUAGGAUGUUCCAACAGUACCAAUAGAACUAAGAUCCUGAAUGAGACCAGAAGGGAUAUUUGGGGUUUGUGUUAUUUGUGUAUUCAGCUAAAGACCAAUGAGUCUUUUCGAAAUGCCUAAGUUAGUAGAUGAGACUUGCUGGCUUGAGAAGACUGAAAAAUAAAUGUGUUUGUUUUAAAGACAGAAUAUUUUAAGCCUUCAUCAAAUGUAUUCAGAUGAAUAUUAGUUCCACAACCAAGAAGAAAGAAACUUUUGCAAUUACUGGCCUGCUGAGUGCUUUUCUUAAUGUGGAAAAAUAGUAUUUCUCUCUCCAUGGAAAUAUUACAAUAAAGACAAGAAUGGCAUUGCACAACUUUGUCUGCAAUCUGAAAUUAAGUUCUCACAUUAGAACAGGAGUAAUUAGCAUUUUCCCUAGCUUGCUUCCAUGCAGUAAUACUGCUGCCAAGCAAAUGAGUAACACUACAUGAGCUAAAUGAACACUAGAAACAAACGUGUAGCCAUUCCUCCUUCUCUGUGAAAAAACUUACCGAGUGUCCUGGUUCAGGGCAAAUUUGGGAGAAAAACAGUACGAGGACACAAUUUCACACCAAAAAACCAGAGCUGACAGAAGCAGCCUGGGAGGUUUCAACCCAAAGAUGUUGCAUUGGAAAACAGCCAGCUCCAGAUUUCCAAACAGAACCAGUAUGUGGACUCCCUGAACAGUCUGCAGUAAGCUACUUACCACAUCUAUGUCACCUCUUCCCACUGCCUCAGCAAUCCCAUUUCUGUGUCCCUGGUUAUAGAACAGAAGAGCCAACUUCAGCUCUGUUAUACAAAGUGGUUGCUACAGUGGGACACCUCUUGCACACAUCUACCUACUCACAGAGUUUCAAGGGGUGGAAAUCUGGAGCAGACACACGUCUUUGAACGGACGAACUUCAGAACAACAAUGGCUGUACCUGGAAGCAAGACCCCAUAUCCUUCUCAGGCAAUGAGUUUCAGCCCAGCAGCUGCUUCAUCAGAUUUAUCACCACCAAGACCCAGCACCUGCCAGGGAAAACUUGUACUACAAGCAGGAGGCACCAACACCACAAAGCAGCUGGUGGGAACACCAAAGCCACUGAGAGAGGACAUCAGCAAGCUCCUGGGAGUCAUCCAAGAUGGACAUGACAUCUGUACCUCUAUGGCCUUUCAAAUCAAGAUCAGGGGACAACAGUGACAUUUCUAGUAACCUCCAGGGCAGCAGAUGUAUCAGUGAUAACAUUCUCUACUACCUAAACAAGGCAGGGCAGCAGGGAAUGUCACACUGCAGCAAGAUAUGAUCAGCUAUUUGCUUGGACAUGAAUUUGUGUCCAGAUUUGUGCUUACAUGGAUUAAGAAAUAUAAACACGGAAGUUCAACAACAAGUACUCAAAUAUAAAGCCUACAAGGAAGAAAGAAAACUUACACAAUAAAAAGUUAGACAGUGAAAUAAUGUUGGAUGUGCAAAUCUGUAUUUCAUUAAAGCAUUAAAAAGACACUAUUUAGUUCAUUUUAUAAACAAAGUAGGGCAAAUUUUUCUCUAGUUAUGUGAUAAAGCAUACUGGGCAACAACAGCCUUUCCUGUCUUUCCUAGGCAAUAUUAUUAAGCUCUGAAGUUUAGGAUUUAUUUUUCCUUGCUCUAAGCUUACUAAGUGCAAAUUUUUUAAUUUGUAAAAAUUAUCAAGGACUUUUCUAAAACUAAGCUGCAGCUCUGACCUCAUGUGCACCCCAGGCAGUUCAUUUCAAGAGCUUUCAAAAUACAAUGUCAUUUUUUAAUUCCUUUAAGAAAAAUCAGCUUUAAACUUCCUUUAAUAAUUUUGUAAUUCCUUCAUUAAAGAUCUUGUGUAGGUUUUAAAGAUACAUAAAACAGUACUGUUCAUCAGCUUUAUAUAAGAAAAUAUUCAUUUUUUUGGCAACCUGGAUUACUUCAUAGUGACUUUUCUGAUUUUCCAAGUCACAGCUGGUUCUUUUUUCCUCUGUCUUCCAGAUUAUCUACAUGCAUAAAAUUCACCACAUGUUUAACUAUCAAGGUUCUUCCACCAAUUUUUCCAAACACAAAGUGAUACAACAAAUAUUUCAGUGAAUAACAAAUCAUUAACUAUGAAUAAGCACCUAAGGGUGUGCACUGGGUCUGGCUGGAAUGGAGCUAAUCUUCUACAUAGCACCUCAUAUGGUGCACUAUUUUAGAUCAAAACAAACAAACAAAAAAAUCCCACCACAUCAAAGUUUCAGCUACUGCUGGACGGAGCUUGUACAGUACCAAGGGUUUAUCAAUUUCUCAGACAUUUUCCCCAGCAAGUGGGCUGGGAGAAAACAGCUAACCCAAACUGAUCAAAGGGAUGGAUAUUCCACAACAUGGAACAUCAUGCUCAGCAAUACAAAUUGUUUUUGUGAUGUUUUUCCAAAGUAGCUGCUGCUUAGACACUGGCUGGGCACUGGUCUGCUGGUGGAAUUAUUGAGGGACUGUA